CCUACGGGAGGCAGCAGUGGGGAAUAUUGCACAAUGGGCGCAAGCCUGAUGCAGCCAUGCCGCGUGUGUGAAGAAGGCCUUCGGGUUGUAAAGCACUUUCAGCGGGGAGGAAGGCGUUAAGGUUAAUAACCUUGGCGAUUGACGUUACCCGCAGAUGAAGCACCGGCUAACUCCGUGCCAGCAGCCGCGGUAAUACGGAGGGUGCAAGCGUUAAUCGGAAUUACUGGGCGUAAAGCGCACGCAGGCGGUCUGUCAAGUCGGAUGUGAAAUCCCCGGGCUCAACCUGGGAACUGCAUUCGAAACUGGCAGGCUAGAGUCUUGUAGAGGGGGGUAGAAUUCCAGGUGUAGCGGUGAAAUGCGUAGAGAUCUGGAGGAAUACCGGUGGCGAAGGCGGCCCCCUGGACAAAGACUGACGCUCAGGUGCGAAAGCGUGGGGAGCAAACAGGAUUAGAUACCCGUGUAGUC
RNAcentral lists this ribosomal RNA (465 nucleotides) under uncultured Klebsiella sp. Its description in RNAcentral is "bacterial SSU rRNA". It matches the Rfam family "Bacterial small subunit ribosomal RNA", at positions 338 to 795 of the family's 1533-position model. Lineage: Bacteria; Pseudomonadati; Pseudomonadota; Gammaproteobacteria; Enterobacterales; Enterobacteriaceae. The record is from RNAcentral.